GAUGAACGCUGGCGGCGUGCCUAACACAUUCAAGUCGAACGGAGUUAUUUCGAUUGAUCCUUCGGGUGAUUUUGUUUUAACUUAGUGGCGAACGGGUGAGUAACGCGUGAGGAACCUGCCUUUCAGUGGGGGACAACAGUUGGAAACGACUGCUAAUACCGCAUAAUGUAUCGAUAGGGCAUCCUGUUGAUACCAAAGAUUUAUUGCUGAAAGAUGGUCUCGCGUCUGAUUAGCUAGUUGGUGAGGUAACGGCUCACCAAGGCGACGAUCAGUAGCCGGUCUGAGAGGAUGAACGGCCACAUUGGGACUGAGAUACGGCCCAGACUCCUACGGGAGGCAGCAGUGGGGAAUAUUGGGCAAUGGGGGAAACCCUGACCCAGCAACGCCGCGUGAAGGAAGAAGGCCUUCGGGUUGUAAACUUCUUUUACCAGGGACGAAGAACGUGACGGUACCUGGAGAAAAAGCAACGGCUAACUACGUG
Molecule: ribosomal RNA, 481 nt
Filed under: uncultured bacterium
Lineage: Bacteria
Description: bacterial SSU rRNA
Rfam family: Bacterial small subunit ribosomal RNA
Source: RNAcentral